This 159-nucleotide unclassified non-coding RNA is filed under the name Pseudohyphozyma pustula. Its description in RNAcentral is "ITS 1". Lineage: Eukaryota; Fungi; Basidiomycota; Microbotryomycetes; Chrysozymaceae. The record is from RNAcentral.
GUGAAUUUUAGGGUGCUCUCCUUCGCGGAGAGGCCUGACCUCCACUCUCCAACACUGUGCACUAUUUGGCUUGCGAGAAGAAGCGCUUCGGCGUGGUAAUCGAGCAAGCGGCUUCAUUUUAAACACUAGUUAAAGAAUGUAACCAAAAACAAAACUAAA